UAACCACUGACGAUAUUCGUGAAUGUUG
This 28-nucleotide non-coding RNA is filed under the name unclassified sequences. Its description in RNAcentral is "L19-Flavobacteria ribosomal protein leader". It matches the Rfam family "L19-Flavobacteria ribosomal protein leader". The record is from RNAcentral.